GGAAUACUGGGCGUAAAGCGUGCGCAGGCGGUUUGUUAAGUCAGAUGUGAAAGCCCCGGGCUUAACCUGGGAACUGCGUUUGAAACUGGCAAGCUAGAGUCUGUCAGAGGGGGGUAGAAUUCCACGUGUAGCAGUGAAAUGCGUAGAGAUGUGGAGGAAUACCGAUGGCGAAGGCAGCCCCCUGGGAUAAGACUGACGCUCAUGCACGAAAGCGUGGGGAGCAAACAGGAUUAGAUACCCUGGUAGUCCACGCCCUAAACGAUGUCGACUGGUUGUUGGGCAACUUGAUUGUUCAGUAACGAAGCUAACGCGAGAAGUCGACCGCCUGGGGAGUACGGUCGCAAGAUUAAAACUCAAAGGAAUUGACGGGGACCCGCACAAGCGGUGGAUGAUGUGGAUUAAUUCGAUGCAACGCGAAAAACCUUACCUACCCUUGACAUGUACGGAAUCCUGCUGAGAGGUGGGAGUGCCUGAAAGGGAACCGUUACACAGGUUCUGCAUGGCUGUCGUCAGGUCGUGUCGUGAGAUGUUGGGUUAAGUCCCGCAACGAGCGCAACCCUUGUCAUUAAUUGCCAUCAUUUAGUUGGGCACUUUAAUGAGACUGCCGGUGACAAACCGGAGGAAGGUGGGGAUGACGUCAAGUCCUCAUGGCCCUUAUGGGUAGGGCUUCACACGUCAUACAAUGGCCGGUACAGAGGGUUGCCAACCCGCGAGGGGGAGCCAAUCCCAGAAAGCCGGUCGUAGUCCGGAUUGUUCUCUGCAACUCGAGAGCAUGAAGUCGGAAUCGCUAGUAAUCGCGGAUCAGCAUGUCCGGUGAAUACGUUCC
Molecule: ribosomal RNA, 826 nt
Filed under: uncultured beta proteobacterium
Lineage: Bacteria; Pseudomonadati; Pseudomonadota; Betaproteobacteria
Description: bacterial SSU rRNA
Rfam family: Bacterial small subunit ribosomal RNA
Source: RNAcentral